UACGUAGGGUGCGAGCGUUGUCCGGAAUUAUUGGGCGUAAAGAGCUCGUAGGCGGUUUGUCGCGUCUGCCGUGAAAGUCCGGGGGCUCAACUCCGGAUCUGCGGUGGGUACGGGCAGACUAGAGUGAUGUAGGGGAGACUGGAAUUCCUGGUGUAGCGGUGAAAUGCGCAGAUAUCAGGAGGAACACCGGUGGCGAAGGCGGGUCUCUGGGCAGUAACUGACGCUGGAGGAGCGAAAGCGUGGGGAGCGAACAGG
RNAcentral lists this ribosomal RNA (255 nucleotides) under uncultured bacterium. Its description in RNAcentral is "partial 16S ribosomal RNA". It matches the Rfam family "Bacterial small subunit ribosomal RNA", at positions 524 to 776 of the family's 1533-position model. The record is from RNAcentral.